This 446-nucleotide ribosomal RNA is filed under the name uncultured bacterium. RNAcentral describes it as "partial 16S ribosomal RNA". It matches the Rfam family "Bacterial small subunit ribosomal RNA", at positions 338 to 795 of the family's 1533-position model. The record is from RNAcentral.
CCUACGGGAGGCAGCAGUCGAGAAUCAUUCACAAUGGGGGAAACCCUGAUGGUGCGACGCCGCGUGGGGGAAUGAAGGUCUUCGGAUUGUAAACCCCUGUCAUGUGGGAGCAAAUUAAAAAGAUAGUACCACACGAGGAAGAGACGGCUAACUCUGUGCCAGCAGCCGCGGUAAUACAGAGGUCUCAAGCGUUGUUCGGAAUCACUGGGCGUAAAGCGUGCGUAGGCUGUUUCGUAAGUCGUGUGUGAAAGGCGCGGGCUCAACCCGCGGACGGCACAUGAUACUGCGAGACUAGAGUAAUGGAGGGGGAACCGGAAUUCUCGGUGUAGCAGUGAAAUGCGUAGAUAUCGAGAGGAACACUCGUGGCGAAGGCGGGUUCCUGGACAGUAACUGACGCUGAGGCACGAAGGCCAGGGGAGCGAAAGGGAUUAGAUACCCUGGUAGUC